Molecule: ribosomal RNA, 465 nt
Filed under: Vreelandella stevensii
Lineage: Bacteria; Pseudomonadati; Pseudomonadota; Gammaproteobacteria; Oceanospirillales; Halomonadaceae
Description: partial 16S ribosomal RNA
Rfam family: Bacterial small subunit ribosomal RNA
Source: RNAcentral
CCUACGGGCUGCAGCAGUGGGGAAUAUUGGACAAUGGGCGAAAGCCUGAUCCAGCCAUGCCGCGUGUGUGAAGAAGGCCUUCGGGUUGUAAAGCACUUUCAGUGGGGAAGAAAGCCUUGGGGCUAAUACCCUCGAGGAAGGACAUCACCCACAGAAGAAGCACCGGCUAACUCCGUGCCAGCAGCCGCGGUACUACGGAGGGUGCGAGCGUUAAUCGGAAUUACUGGGCGUAAAGCGCGCGUAGGCGGUCUGAUAAGCCGGUUGUGAAAGCCCCGGGCUCAACCUGGGAACGGCAUCCGGAACUGUCAGGCUAGAGUGCAGGAGAGGAAGGUAGAAUUCCCGGUGUAGCGGUGAAAUGCGUAGAGAUCGGGAGGAAUACCAGUGGCGAAGGCGGCCUUCUGGACUGACACUGACGCUGAGGUGCGAAAGCGUGGGUAGCAAACAGGAUUAGAUACCCGUGUAGUC